UAAGGAAUAUUGCUCAAUGGGAGAAAUCCUGAAGCAGCAACGCCGCGUGGAGGAUGAAGGGUCUAUGACUUGUAAACUCCUGUAAAGAAGGAAAAAAUUCCCAUUAGAUGGGAGAUGAUGGUACUUCUGGAGUAAGCCCCGGCUAACUACGUGCCAGCAGCCGCGGUAAUACGUAGGGGGCAAGCGUUGUCCGAAUUUACUGGGUGUAAAGGGUGCUCAGGCGGAUUUGUAAGUCAGAGGUGAAAUCUUACAGCUUAACUGUGAAACUGCCUUUGAUACUGCAAGCCUAGAGUAUGGAAGAGAGUGAUGGAAUAUCUGGUGUAGCAGUGAAAUGCGUAGAUAUCAGAUAGAACACCAAUGGCGAAGGCAGUCACUUGGUCCAUUACUGACGCUAAAGCACGAAAGCGUGGGUAGCAAACA
RNAcentral lists this ribosomal RNA (420 nucleotides) under uncultured bacterium. Its description in RNAcentral is "bacterial SSU rRNA". It matches the Rfam family "Bacterial small subunit ribosomal RNA", at positions 355 to 774 of the family's 1533-position model. The record is from RNAcentral.